AGGAAGUGAUGAUAGAAAUUCAUGGUCUGUCAAUCCACUGAUAUUAUUUGAUGUUACUCAUGAAUCUCGACAGGUUCUGAUCCU
Thalictrum thalictroides is the source of this 84-nucleotide non-coding RNA. Lineage: Eukaryota; Viridiplantae; Streptophyta; Magnoliopsida; Ranunculales; Ranunculaceae. The record is from the annotation of a GenBank genome assembly.